RNAcentral lists this ribosomal RNA (484 nucleotides) under uncultured bacterium. RNAcentral's name for it is "partial 16S ribosomal RNA". It matches the Rfam family "Bacterial small subunit ribosomal RNA", at positions 30 to 507 of the family's 1533-position model. The record is from RNAcentral.
AUUGAACGCUGGCGGCAGGCCUAACACAUGCAAGUCGAGCGGAUGAAGGGAGCUUGCUCCUGGAUUCAGCGGCGGACGGGUGAGUAAUGCCUAGGAAUCUGCCUUGUAGUGGGGGAUAACGUCCGGAAACGGGCGCUAAUACCGCAUACGUCCUUAGGGAGAAAGUGGGGGAUCUUCGGACCUCACGCUAUCAGAUGUGCCUAGGUCGGAUUAGCUAGUUGGUGGGGUAAAGGCCUACCAAGGCGACGAUCCGUAACUGGUCUGAGAGGAUGAUCAGUCACACUGGAACUGAGACACGGUCCAGACUCCUACGGGAGGCAGCAGUGGGGAAUAUUGGACAAUGGGCGAAAGCCUGAUCCAGCCAUGCCGCGUGUGUGAAGAAGGUCUUCGGAUUGUAAAGCACUUUAAGUUGGGAGGAAGGGCAGUAAGUUAAUACCUUGCUGUUUUGACGUUACCAACAGAAUAAGCACCGGCUAACUUCGUG